UUAGCAUUCAUUCACAUAUUAUAGUAACCAAUAACAGAGGAGGUUAGCAUUCAUUCACAUAUUAUAGCACCAAUAACAGGGGAGGUUAGCAUUCAUUCACAUAUUAUAGUAACCAAUAACAGGGGAGGUUAGCAUUCA
Long non-coding RNA from Oncorhynchus keta (chum salmon), 138 nucleotides. RefSeq lists it as uncharacterized. The record is from RefSeq and is a predicted model, not a curated record. The transcript is spliced from 3 exons. Lineage: Eukaryota; Metazoa; Chordata; Actinopteri; Salmoniformes; Salmonidae.